CAGAUUAGUGAUUCUUUUUCUAGCCUGAGAGGAGGAGAGGACGGCAUAAAUCCAGCCCAUUAGCCCCGAGGUCUGUCGGUGACAGUUCCCGCCCCUCGGCUGAUGUAAACCAAACUUCCUGUCCGGAGAUGAAGAAGCCUGUCAAAGCAGCUGUAGCCACCUCGACCCUUGUCACCCUCCCUCUGUGAUGCCCCAGGCAUUAAUAGCAAAUCAAUCCUAAGUGAGGGACAAGGGAAACGAGAAAGAAACAAAAGGAAGCGUCCAUCUCCGGUGGAGGGAUGUGCAGCGGCGGAGAUGCGCCCCAAUGUGUCCCGCCGAGGAAAAAUAACAGGUCCUGGUGUGGACAAGGAAGAUCACUAAGUCAAAAACAAGGACGAACCAACGCUGCACUCACACAUGACCGAGCUCUCAUUGGUGUAGCGGGACGAGAAGCGGCGGCCUGAUGCGGAUGCAGAAGAGGUAUUGGGACCGACUGUUCAUAGCCUGUGAAGGUCUCUCUGUGUUAGACAUUAUUCGCUUCUUUCAUGUCGGAUUUUUUGUUCAGGUUUCCAGUUAUCGGGACGCUUUCAGUCAAAAAAGUCUCCUCUUGUCACAUUAUUUUUCAAUUUUAUUAUUUUUCUCCAUAUUCCAUUUUCAUUUCCUCACUUCCAGUAGAGGGCAGCAUUUCUUUACUGGACGCGGCGGUUGACCUGUGCCAUGCGCAGUUGUCUGGCAUUUGAAGCUCUCCUGUGUAAUUUAUCGAGGAGGAGUACGCAGGCUACGGUCAUCGUCGUCAACGUCGAGAAGAUGCUGCUCAUUCCCUGCAAGCUUCUCAUCACUUCGGUCUCAUCUCUCCCACCUCACAAUGUUGCAAAAGGAAAGCUACGCAGAAUAAACUGUGGUGUCGUCACGUGGACUGUGAUUUAGGAAAAGUGCACAAUGCAAUUUACGGCAGACUUCACUUCCACUUGCAUUGUCUGAUGCCGUCUCGCUCUUCUUCUUGCCUAACUUUUUCGUUUCCCCCCUGUCCCUCUGUGCUCUACUCCACCCUGUAAUCACGCUGGUUCAUGGCUCUCAUUUGGAGCGGUAUAUAUAGCAGUAAUUGUCAGGGUGCAGUACAGAGACUGGGCAGGCCGUGUGUACUCUCUCACAGGGCUGUUUUGCAAUAAAUCUCAUUGUGGAGAGGAGAGGAUCGGUGUGGUGGUGGGGCAAUUUGUGCACAAACACUUGCGUGCAUACAAAGACAAGUUCACUUCCCUGCUAAAGCAAUACACAGUACGCACAGAGAAGUGUAUAACAAAGGAAAGGCAUUGCCCUAAUUUGCUAGUGUUCUCUCAGCGACCGUUCAUUUACUCUCCCGAUGGGCCUGACAUGGCAAGUGAAUGUGUCCCAUAAUGUGUUUUUCACUUGACAGGGUGAAAUAAUUAUGCUAAUUCAUUCAUUAAUCAUGAGACUAUCAGUAAAUAUUAACAAUCCCAGGCGAUGGGUUCAUCGGGUGGUCUGCUUACGAAUCACAAGCACCUAGAAACUAAUUUACAUUCUGUGCAAGUGGAAAUGAUAAUUGUUUGAAAGUGUAAGAAAACACUAAUGAGCAUUUAUCCGUUUCUCCGAUAUUACACGUCAUAAUGAAGGCAGCACAAAACCAGACAGAUCCAACAGGUUUCCUCAUUGAAGCAACCACGAGGCUUUUAGCAAAGACAUUUCUACUAAAUAAUAAAGUUCGAUCACCAGAAAAAAACUCACCCUGUCAGUCGCUCCCAAAAGAGAUGACGCCACAACCUGUUAUGCACUCAAGUGUUACGUGUGUGUGUGUGUGUGUGUGUGUGUGUGUGUGUGAAUGGGUGGGGGCUUUGGUUUGUUGUAGCUUGUACGGACAGGUCUGUCAUUCAGAGAGCGUACACAGUCUUCAUUGUGGAGCUGUCUGUGGUCCCCAUCAGGUCGGGGUGGGGUGGCGAAAGGGGGCCUCCCGAAUAACACCACGUGCAGCAAACAGGAAGCGGGCCGGCAAGGAUAGAACGAGAACUGCGCCGGGGAGCGUGCGUGAGUGGAGGUGGCUCGUAUGUUUCGUUUUCACCUCAGAUUCAUUUAUUUUUCCUCCUCUGAUUGAUCUCGAUCGAUGGUCCACACUUAAAGGCGACCCCUGACGCUGGUACAGUCACAGUCAUAUCUAAGUGACUUGUUAAAUAGAAGAAGUGAAAGUGGAUUAAUCUCCAGCCUUUAUUUUCUUCUUAUAAAAGUGCACAGUGUAAAUAUUCAUAUGAUCUGUGAAGCCCAAACUAGUGUGUGUGCCCUUGCAUGUGUGUUUACCGGAAUAGGCUGAGAGUUCAUGAAAGGAAGAUGGAUGUGUGUGAGGCCUCUCUAUGAACCCAGGUGCUCUGCCUUCAAAUAUCCCUUUCCUGUUUGCCCAGCAGCUGUUUCAUCUCAGCAAGUGACCACUUCACGGCUCCACUUGUUUUCUUUCUGGGCGGACAUGUCAGCUGUGAUCAAAUCAGACUUUUGUUAAGAGUAAAUGUCCUUUCCACACACACAGACGAUUACUCCACCCACUUUGAUAUGCUUGAAGUUGCCUGUUAAUUCUUGGACACGUUUGUGUAUUUUUGUCUGAUAUUUUCUCAGUUCCCACGAGGAGCAGUGUUUGCAAAAGAUUAAAUAACGGAAAAUCUAACAUCUUUGAAGGACUGGCUUGGGGCGGCAUCAUCUUUUUAGGGGAAGCCUUUUAAAAUGAAUUCUUUAAGCAUCAGAAAACCAGCGCAGAGUGCUUGAGUAACCAGUUUGAACAGGUCAGAUCACAAACCACAGAACGUAUCCGUCUUCUGGAUGCCGAGGAAUCAUAAUUCUACCCACUUU
Long non-coding RNA from Gasterosteus aculeatus aculeatus (three-spined stickleback), 2826 nucleotides. RefSeq lists it as uncharacterized. The record is from RefSeq and is a predicted model, not a curated record. NCBI's taxonomy places the organism in Eukaryota, Metazoa, Chordata, Actinopteri, Perciformes, Gasterosteidae.